AAGUGAAUUUGAAUUAUGUUUGAAAGAGGAAUUGGUGUGGGAAAGAGAGAUGAGAUUAAUAAUUAAAAAAAGAGAAAAGAGAAAAGAGAAAAGAGAAGAUGAAGGAAAUGGUAGCUAGCUUUUUCAACUGCUACACGUCGAUGCCGUAAGCAGCAAUAAUAAUAUCAAGUCGGCCACACGCAACCGUUCUCUUCUCUCUUCUCUCUCUCUCUCUCUUGUUAUUGUUAUUGUUAUUGCAUUCCAUUUAGCAGCAGUAUCUAACAUCUAACUACUACUCAUCAUUAUUUCAAUUCAUAAUUAUGCUUUCAUUUCAUUUCAUGCCUUCUUCAUCAUUCAUUUCUUUCUUUCCUUUGUCUCUCCCUCUUUUUUCAUUCCAUGCUGCAAAAAUGACAAAAAGAAAAACAUCAUUAAUUAAAUUUGUUGAUUAGAGAAAACCCAGAAUGGCCAAUCCUUAUUACUGUGUUUCUCUGACAAAAAGUUUGCAUUUUUAAACGUUUUCUUCUGUUGGGUCUUUAUUAUGUAAUGUAACUAACCACCCUUUCUUUUUCUUCUUCUUCUCCUUCUUCAUUAAUGCCUUAUGUUAUUAUGUUAGAUCCAUUUUGUUUUUGAUACACAUGAUGUGAUCAGUGAUCUAUCUAUCUUUCUUUCUUUCUUUGUUCUGUUCUGUUCUUUCUCUAUGCGCGUGUCCCAUACUCUUCUCCAUUAAUCCUCACUCACAGUAUUGUGUAACAAGUAAUUAACAACAAUGUCAAUAUCAUUCAUUGAGGUUAAGCUUUGCAAACACAAACUAGCACCAGAGAGGAAUGUAUGUAUGUGACAUAACUUUGCUCAACUCUGAGUCUGCCAUUGUCUUCUUAAUGAGGACUCUCAACAUGGUUGCUAUAUGGAAGAUCAGAUUUUGAGGGGAAAACCAAAAUGGUGGAAUGGAUUGGAUUGCAAGCUGCUGAUGAGUUGACAGAACAGCAGUGCUAGCUGGUACAUGAUUGAGUGAGGGUAUGUUUGUAAAUACACUUGUUUGUGUUUUUCCUGGUUUCUUUCAUUUUUUUAUUUUAUUUUAAAAUUGGCUAUUUUUUUGGGUUAAUAUUUGGUGACAGUUUGUAUUUAAGCAGAAUAUUACAAAUUAGUACUACAAAUUUUUGUGUGUGUGUGUGGUUGAUCAUGAAUGAUUUUUUACUUUGUUGCAAGGAUGAGGUAUGAGACUAUGAGCUAUCUGAGAAUUUCUUGCUAAUGUUGUUUGGUUAAGUUUCUUUGUACUUUUUUGUCAUGGCUGAACUUUUUACUUAAACUAGACUUUGUACUUGUUUGUCUUUUCUUUAA
Cicer arietinum (chickpea) is the source of this 1317-nucleotide long non-coding RNA. RefSeq lists it as uncharacterized. Lineage: Eukaryota; Viridiplantae; Streptophyta; Magnoliopsida; Fabales; Fabaceae. The record is from RefSeq and is a predicted model, not a curated record.